This 72-nucleotide transfer RNA is filed under the name Camelus bactrianus (Bactrian camel). It matches the Rfam family "tRNA". From Rfam's summary of the family: Transfer RNA (tRNA) molecules are approximately 80 nucleotides in length. Their secondary structure includes four short double-helical elements and three loops (D, anti-codon, and T loops). Further hydrogen bonds mediate the characteristic L-shaped molecular structure. tRNAs have two regions of fundamental functional importance: the anti-codon, which is responsible for specific mRNA codon recognition, and the 3' end, to which the tRNAs corresponding amino acid is attached (by aminoacyl-tRNA synthetases). tRNAs cope with the degeneracy of the genetic code in two manners: having more than one tRNA (with a specific anti-codon) for a particular amino acid; and 'wobble' base-pairing, i.e. permitting non-standard base-pairing at the 3rd anti-codon position. RNAcentral also lists the same sequence under 2 other names. Lineage: Eukaryota; Metazoa; Chordata; Mammalia; Artiodactyla; Camelidae. The record is from Rfam by way of RNAcentral.
GAGGACGUAGCUCAGUGGUAGAGUGUGUGCUUAGCAUACAUGACAUCCUGGGUUCAAUCCCCAGUGCCGCCA